RNAcentral lists this ribosomal RNA (496 nucleotides) under uncultured bacterium. Its description in RNAcentral is "partial 16S ribosomal RNA". It matches the Rfam family "Bacterial small subunit ribosomal RNA", at positions 28 to 507 of the family's 1533-position model. The record is from RNAcentral.
GAUGAACGCUGGCGGCGUGCCUAAUACAUGCAAGUCGAGCGAACAGAUGAGGAGCUUGCUCCUCUGACGUUAGCGGCGGACGGGUGAGUAACACGUGGAUAACCUACCUAUAAGACUGGGAUAACUUCGGGAAACCGGAGCUAAUACCGGAUAAUAUAUUGAACCGCAUGGUUCAAUAGUGAAAGACGGUUUUGCUGUCACUUAUAGAUGGAUCCGCGCCGCAUUAGCUAGUUGGUAAGGUAACGGCUUACCAAGGCAACGAUGCGUAGCCGACCUGAGAGGGUGUAGGGCCACACAGGAGCUGAGACACGGCCCAGACUCCGACGGGAGGCAGAGGUAGCGAAUCUUCCGAACAGGCGAAAACCUGACGGAGCAACGCCGCGUGAGUGAUGAAGGUCUUCGGAUCGUAAAACUCGGUUAUUAGGGAAGAACAAAUGUGUAAGUAACUAUGCACGUCUUGACGGUACCUAAUCAGAAAGCCACGGCUAACUACGUG